CGUGAGCGCGGGCGUUGGCUGCUCGGCCGUCCCUCAUAAGGACGGUGUGCCCGGAUCGACACCGGGGCUCACGAC
Molecule: transfer RNA, 75 nt
Filed under: Phytohabitans suffuscus
Lineage: Bacteria; Bacillati; Actinomycetota; Actinomycetes; Micromonosporales; Micromonosporaceae
Also listed under: 1 other name
Description: tRNA-Met
Source: RNAcentral